UUCCUAGGUGUGAAACGGUUUGCCAUU
RNAcentral lists this non-coding RNA (27 nucleotides) under Rattus norvegicus (Norway rat). Lineage: Eukaryota; Metazoa; Chordata; Mammalia; Rodentia; Muridae. The record is from RNAcentral.